AACACCGGAUAGGGAAAUCCAACUGGAACGUGGAUUUCUUCAAAAGCAAUGCCUAAGGAUGAGUCGGCGGCGGAUUAGGUUGUUGGCGAGGUAAUGGCUCACCAAGCCGAAGAUCCGUAGGGGCCUUGAGAGAGGUAGCCCCGAGAAGGGCACUGAGAUACUGGCCCUAGCUCCACGGAGUGCAGCAGGCGCGAAACCUUCACAAUGCGCGCAAGCGUGAUGAGGGAACCCCAAGUGAUGUUGCAUUGCAAUAUCUUUUGCCUAGAGCAAAUAUCUAGGCGAAUAAGUGGUGGGCAAUACCUGUGCCAGCCGCCGCGGUAACCCAGGAGCCACAAGUGGCAACCACCUUUAUUGGGCCUAAAGCGUCCGUAGCCUGUUCUGUAAAUUUUCUGUGAAAUCGUUGCGCUUAACGUAACGGCGCGCAGAAAACACUGCAGGACUAGGGACCGGGAGGAGUCAGAGGUAUUCUGGGGGGAGCGGUAAAAUGCUAUAAUCCCCGGAGGACCACCUGUGGCGAAGGCGUCUGACUAGAACGGAUUCGACGGUGAGGGACGAAAGCUAGGGGAGCAAUCCGGAUUAGAUUUCGGGGUUUUUGGAAUUUUCAAUAUUGAAUUUUC
RNAcentral lists this ribosomal RNA (617 nucleotides) under uncultured archaeon. RNAcentral describes it as "bacterial SSU rRNA". It matches the Rfam family "Archaeal small subunit ribosomal RNA", at positions 148 to 772 of the family's 1478-position model. The record is from RNAcentral.